UGAACAGACAGAGGAGCUGUAGGCAGCAAAAGAGAGUCAGAGGUGGGGGGAAGGGAACUGGGGAAAGCCAUCAGGAUAUUGAUUGAUCAUCAUUUCACUGUCGGCCACCCAGAAGCCACGCUGCAACCGACAAUGGAGGCAUCGGAUAAAGAGCACAGUGGAGGCUGCUCAGAUGUGAGACAGAAUGUAAGUGAACCAUGCGUACUCUAUGUAUGUCAACAUCUGCAUCAGGACGUGCUCUGGGCCUGGCCCUGUAUCAGGAAGUCAGAGGGCUGAAAUCAGCUGAAGGGCCGUUCCAUCUCAGGCCCAAUGGGAGGCAUCACGGCCCCAGAGGCGCGACAUUUACCUUGACGUCAUGGUGUCCAAAUGAUGGUUACCCAUCCCAUUAAAAAGCAGCUCAGUGAUCGUGCCUGAACUCCUGUGCUUCUGGACCCUUUCCAAGAGCUCCAAGCAGAAACUCAGCUACUGAGAUUCAGACAGCUCUGGUGAAUGUUUGGGCUCUGCUGGGAAAAUGAACUUGCUCCUUGUUACUCAUACAAAUGUAUAUUUGUGAUGCAGACCUAAGAUGCAUGAUAUGGUUAUGAACAACAGCAACCACAGACCAAGAAGGUCUAUUAAAAGUCAGGAAGAGAAAGCACCGCAAGGCCUUGAGGCCAAGUUGAAUCCAGUGUAAUUACAUCUGCCCAGCACGAGUAUUGAAUGAAAGCGCCAGAUUCUGGGCCUCAUUUUAAUUGUGUGAUAAGUAAAAGUCUCUGUGAUGAAGCAGACAGAGCAUAUCAUUCCAGACAGAUAUACUGUUUAUUUUAAUUCAUCUACUGCGGACUUCAAACACAUUGACGAACGAUUCAGGCACUCCCAGCAACGUGUCCAUUUUGGCUCAGAACUCUGAAACUAGGUUGCAGCAAGUCGGACGCGUAUCAGUUCCUUUCACAAAAAGUGGAGUCCAUAUCCUCUGUGGGGCAUCUUGGCAGUGCCUCAAUACAAAAGACAAACUACAGUCAGCUUCCCACAGGGCAAUCUGUUGCAGGAAUGGAAGUGCUGGAUAUGAAAAAUGCCGAUCCCAGCUGUACAGCUUCAACAGAAGAUUCCAGUUGCCUAAGGUGCAGGCAGGUGAAGGAGUGCAAAUCUGAUUCUGACUGAUGUAAGCUGUCAUCUAUUCAAUAAAGAUCCUUUACUGCAGUCUGGCAGAGAUCCAUUAUUGCUUUGGUCAGCCAUUUACUAAAAGUGCCAACUCCAAAUCCAAAAACGGCAAACAGUGGAGAAACACUGGAUGCUAAAUUUGAAAUACAAUCUACAAAGGAAAAAAACCUACUGUUUUGGAUGAAGACAUCAGUACCAUGGACAGCACUCUGGGGGAAGCAAACAUCAGAACCAUAGACAGCACUCAGGGGAAGCAAGGGACAUCAACAGAGGGAAGGCAAAGUCAAUGGCUCUGAAGAGCUUGCAGAGCUUGCUGGGUGACUGGAAGAGAAAGGCCCUGGUCCAAGUCCUACUUUUGUCAUUUCUUUUCACAUUUCUACAUGGGACACUGUAGAAAAUUCACCAAAGUAAUAGGAUAUGUGCAUCAGAUAUGAUAUAGGUGGACACACUAUCAUUUCAAAGUUAAAUUUAAUACCUAAUGUAACUCUUUGCUUGCACUCAACUAGAUUUCUUCCUCUGAAUUGUAAGGAAUAAUGGCUACCACAUGCAUAACAUGCAGGAUACAUGAAAUGUCAUCUCAUCAUCCUUAUCCCUGUCUCUUAUCCUUUUCCUGUCUACCUUCUUUCAUCUCUCCCCCUGCCAACAAAUGUAAUUCCACUUCAGACCAUUAAGCUGUUUGUGGUUUCAUUGACAUACUAUUGUUCUGACCAGUUGUAUGUCCAUGCUUUGCUAAUAUUUUGGAAAAACAAUUAAAAAUGGGAACAAGGAACAGCCUUCUUUACUAAUAAGCAUGCUGUCCCACUUCCUUCAGACCAUAUUUGCAUAUGAAUGGAGACAGCUGUGGCUAAAAUCUGAAUGAGUUGUGACCAAGAAUCUAACGGAGACUAUCAGCCAUGUAAAACAUUUAAAACAUUCUUCCACAACUUGAUGAGGUUGAUGUUUUUGCUGUUCACCAAGAACGACAAAAUCCAGGAGAUUGACAAACACCCAGUGGCCAUAGUAAACAAUUGGAGGAAUACAUUCAUUUUGUAGAUCACAAAUAAUGAAUGACUGAUGCUCCUCUUCAGACUCCAGUCCCAUAAACUCAAACUAAAUUUAAGAAUCAGGCAUUAAAAGAGAGAUGCUGUAGCAUUACCUUCUGGUGCUUUUAAUCUCUUUGUCCCAGGAGUACUUAAAACAGUUUGGCAUUGAAAUUUCUUAAGCUGCAUGUAAACAAUGUCUUUGUAAUGUGGGAUAUUUAUUCACUCAGUUCCUAGGAUUAAUUAGAGAUACAGUAAUAAAAGGGACUUACUUUUAAACUGAGAAAAAUGGGCUACGUGGUCAACAAAUUAAUGGUAUGAAGUACGCUUCCUUCAAUUGUCAGCAUUUAGUGUAUCCCAGUGUUCUAAGACAAUUGCUGAACUAAUUACAUGCUUAUCGUGUAUCUAUCUCACCCUCAUACAAAUAUGGUACAAUCUGGGAACGGCAGGAAGAGUAGUGCUUCUACUAUACUAGUUUGAAAUGGGUAUUGCCCUGUGUUGCACAGACGCCAGGGAAUGAAAGCAGUGCAAGCAAACUGAAUAAAGCAAUGGAACAUUGUGUUCAGAGUAGUUGUUGUUUCUGUUGUUGUUGUUGUUGUUGUUGUUAUGUUUCAGCAUUCACUGUUGUUUUUUUCCCAGCAGUUAUGAGGAGACCUUGAAUCACCAGCAGGCCUACAAUAUGAGAACUCCCAGAUUAUUUGCAUUGAAACAAGAUCCUAUUGCCGCAACCCGUGGUUUGCAGAAUAUGCUUUGAAAGAAUCUUUGGAUUAAAAUGUCAGAGUGAGAUGACUCAUCCAGCAGCGUGUCAUACUUGACACUCAUGGAAUGUCAAAUCCCUGAAGUUAUCUGUUUGGUAUCCAUGGUAUUUAGUAUGUCAUAUGUCCCUGUUUUCAUCCUCAAAUAGUAUCUUUUUUUUUAUCAGCCCUUGAUUCAGCCCUUGGAGCAUAGCUAUCACAAGAAAGUGCAAAAAAUGCUUCAACACAGAUUCAGACAUUCUGCUUAACUAAACAUAGCACUAAAAACAGUAAAUUAAUGCUAAAUAGAAGCCACCUGGGAUACAGCCAUAACAUGAAGCUACAUUUCUCCAGAGGGAGUUAUAUCAGGCAAUUGCAAUGAUGGUAGCUUAUUUCCUAAAGCUGCUGUUAGUUUGCUGAGACAGAACCACCUCUGCCUACAGGUAGCAUUACUGAGAUAUUAGAGCCAACACAACAUUAAUCAGACAAAAUUAUCAAGACACAUGCCUUCAAUUACAGCAUCUAAAGCAAUGAGAUCAGCAAGCCAUCACUUACAUGAACAAUUAUGACACUCACAUGCACACAGCAGUAUUCACCAAUAGGCUGGGAUAGGGGCAUUUCUAUCAGCAUCAUCAACAAAGCCUCCACUUGCAAAUAACUUUUUGAAAUUUUUCACACAUUUCACAAACUGUUGAGAGCAGAAGGAAUGUUCUACUAGAUUAGACCAAAAAAAAAGUCUGUCUAGCCCAGCAUUCUCUCUCUAACAGUGGCCCACCAGAUGCUCCUGGGAAGCUUACAAGCAAGGCUGUUUACUUGUAAACAUUUUAACAGCUAAACCAACAUCACAAAGGCCAGAUCAAUCAGACACAGAACACAAAAUUGUCACACUGGGCACAGCUAUGCAAGCAGCAUUGCCAAGUCUCACAGCUCAAAUAUAUGAAUCUAACUUCCAGAAUCUUUAAGAAAGGAUCAGAUAGAGGAUUUAAUCUGAAACAUAUGUACUUUGAAGGAAAUCCUACCCAAAUAAAUGAGAUUUAUUUAAAAGUAAACAUGUUUAAGGUUGGGGUAUUAAAAGAAUAAAUUCAAGCAUCUUAGUUGAGCAUCAGUAGAAUAUAUUUUCAAGCCCUUUUUGUUGUCCUGCCGAGUCUGAAAGUUUUUUUCCGAAAAUAAUAAUGCUUGAACAUAAUACAGGUAA
This is a long non-coding RNA of Sphaerodactylus townsendi, 4088 nucleotides long. RefSeq lists it as uncharacterized. The record is from RefSeq and is a predicted model, not a curated record. Lineage: Eukaryota; Metazoa; Chordata; Lepidosauria; Squamata; Sphaerodactylidae. The transcript is spliced from 5 exons.